Molecule: ribosomal RNA, 492 nt
Filed under: uncultured bacterium
Lineage: Bacteria
Description: partial 16S ribosomal RNA
Rfam family: Bacterial small subunit ribosomal RNA
Source: RNAcentral
AGUGAACGCUGGCGGUAGGCCUAACACAUGCAAGUCGAACGGCAGCACAGUAAGAGCUUGCUCUUACGGGUGGCGAGUGGCGGACGGGUGAGGAAUACAUCGGAAUCUACUUUUUCGUGGGGGAUAAUGUAGGGAAACUUACGCUAAUACCGCAUACGACCUACGGGUGAAAGCAGGGGAUCUUCGGACCUUGCGCGAUUGAAUGAGCCGAUGUCGGAUUAGCUAGUUGGCGGGGUAAAGGCCCACCAAGGCGACGAUCCGUAGCUGGUCUGAGAGGAUGAUCAGCCACACUGGAACUGAGACACGGUCCAGACUCCUACGGGAGGCGGCAGUGGGGAAUAUUGGACAAUGGGCUCAAGCCUGAUCCAGCCAUACCGCGUGGGUGAAGAAGGCCUUCGGGUUGUAAAGCCCUUUUGUUGGGAAAGAAAAGCAGCAGGUUAAUACCCCGCUGUUCUGACGGUACCCAAAGAAUAAGCACCGGCUAACUUCGUG